This 1080-nucleotide ribosomal RNA is filed under the name Triticum aestivum (bread wheat). Its description in RNAcentral is "partial small subunit ribosomal RNA". Lineage: Eukaryota; Viridiplantae; Streptophyta; Magnoliopsida; Poales; Poaceae. The record is from RNAcentral.
AUGGGGCGGCCGCCGAGCAGCGGGGGGCCCGCGUUCCGGUUCACGCACGCGGAGGUGGCGGAGAUGGAGGAGCACCUCCGCCACCUCAACAACGCCAUCCCGCAGCGCAACGUCAUCCAGGGCCUCGCCGAGAAGUUCACCGCCUCCGCCGCCCGCGCCGGCAAGAUCCCCGUCCAGUACAAGCAGGUCUGGAACUGGUUCCAGAACCGGAGGUACUCGCAGCGGGCCAGGACCCCCAGGGGCGCGCCGCCGCCGCAGGGGAAGAUGCUGCCCACGGGGGCCGAGGAACACCACCCGGCCUCCUUCAGGGCUCAGGGGUCGUCCUCUUCGUACCCCGGAUCCCACUCAGGAAAGAGUGCUUCGGAUGGUGGCCAGGCCGAGUUUGAAGCAAAGUCAGCUAGAGAUGGCGCGUGGUACGAUGUUGCUGCCUUUCUGUCCCACAGGCUCUUUGAAACAGGGGAUCCGGAAGUAAAAGUUCGAUUUUCUGGAUUUGGGCCCGAGGAGGAUGAAUGGAUUAAUGUUCGUAAAUGUGUGAGGCUGCGUUCUCUUCCAUGUGAAGCUGCAGAAUGUGUUGCUGUGCUUCCUGGGGAUCUCAUUCUUUGUUUUCAGGAAGGCAAAGAGCAGGCCCUCUAUUUUGACGCUCGUGUUCUUGAUGCUCAAAGGCGCAGGCAUGAUGUAAGAGGGUGCCGCUGCAGGUUUCUUGUUCGUUAUGAUCAUGAUCACUCUGAGGAGAUUGUUCCUCUGAGGAAGGUAUGCCGUCGACCAGAAACUGAUUUCAGGCUCCAGAUCUUGCACGCAUCUAGAGCGGCGGCAUCUGCAGAUGCUCAGAAUGUUAGCCCAGUUGAGCAGAAACCCCAAAAGGCACACAAGAUGAUGGAUGUGAACACUGCCGAGGUGACCGUGGUCCGCAACCCAGAUCAAGGAGGGCCAUCUGACAAGCCGGCUGCUCCCUUGCCAGCUGCGCCUGCUGGCACCCACGGUGAUUCAGUUUCAGAUGUGCAGAUGGGGAGCGUGGAGGUUAUUCCAAAAGUUGAAGCCGCAAAUGAAGCACAUGACGACAAGAUGAACGUGGGAGCAUAG